This 785-nucleotide ribosomal RNA is filed under the name uncultured bacterium. RNAcentral describes it as "bacterial SSU rRNA". It matches the Rfam family "Bacterial small subunit ribosomal RNA", at positions 45 to 865 of the family's 1533-position model. The record is from RNAcentral.
CGCUUACCAUGCAGGUCGAACGAGAAAGGGGAGCAAUCCCCAAGUAAAGUGGCGUCCGGGUGAGUAACACGUGGAUAAUCUACCUUCUGGUGGGGGAUAACCCUGGGAAACCGGGGCUAAUACCGCAUAAGUCCGAGAGGAGAAAGGCGCAAGUCGCCGGAAGAGGAGUCCGCGGUCGAUUAGCUAGUUGGUAGGGUAAAGGCCUACCAAGGCAUUGAUCGAUAGCCGGCCUGAGAGGGCACACGGCCACACUGGCACUGAAACACGGGCCAGACUCCUACGGGAGGCAGCAGUGGGGAAUCUUGCACAAUGGGGGAAACCCUGAUGCAGCGACGCCGCGUGAGUGAUGAAGCCCUUCGGGGUGUAAAGCUCUUUCGACAGGGACGAUAAUGACGGUACCUGGAGAAGAAGCUGCGGCUAACUACGUGCCAGCAGCCGCGGUAAUACGUAGGCAGCAAACGUUGUUCGGAGUUACUGGGCGUAAAGAGUGCGUAGGCGGUCCGCCAAGUUUGGUGUGAAAUCUCCCGGCUUAACUGGGAGGGUGCGCCGAAAACUGGCGGGCUUGAGUGUGGGAGAGGGAAGCGGAAUUCCUGGUGUAGCGGUGAAAUGCGUAGAUAUCAGGAGGAACACCGGUGGUGUAGACGGCUUCCUGGACCACAACUGACGCUGAGGCACGAAAGCGUGGGUAGCAAACAGGAUUAGAUACCCUGGUAGUCCACGCCCUAAACGAUGCAAACUUGGUGUAGGCAGUUCAGUCUGUCUGUGCCGGAGCUAACGCGUUAAGU